AAAUCCGGUUGAUCCUGCCGGAGGCUACCGCUAUUGGAGUUCGAUUAAGCCAUGCGAGUCGUGAGUCUUAGGGACUCGGCGUACCGCUCAGUAACACGUGGGUAACCUGCCCUAUGCUGGGGAAUAACCUCGGGAAACUGAGAACAAUGCCCCAUAGUUCACCACGCCUGGAACGGUGGGUGGAUCAAAGCCCCGGCGGCAUAGGAUGGGCCUGCGGCGUAUCAGGUUGUAGGGGGUGUAAAGUACCCUCUAGCCCUCUACGCGUACGGGUGUUGGGAGACAUAGCCCGGAGAUGGAUUCUGAGACACGAAUCCAGACCCUACGGGGUGCAGCAGGCGCGAAAACUUGGCAAUGCGAGCAAUCGUGACCAGGGAACUCCAAGUGCAUCGGGUAAGACCGAUGCUUUUCUUGACUCUUCAAAGGUCUUGGAAUAAGGGGUGGGUAAGGACGGUGCCAGCCGCCGCGGUAAUACCGGCGCCUCAAGUGGUAGUCGCUUUUAUUGGGCCUAAAACGUCCGUAGCCGGUUUGGUACAUUCGUGGGUAAAUCAAGGUGCUCAACGCCUUGAAUUCUGCGAGCACGGCCAGACUUGGGACCGGGAGAGGUGUGGGGUACUCUCAGGGUAGGGGUAAAAUCCUGUCAUCCUGAGGGGACCACCUGUUGCGAAGGCGCCACACUAGAACGGAUCCGACGGUCAGGGACGAAGCCUAGGGGCACGAACCGGAUUAGAUACCCGGGUA
Molecule: ribosomal RNA, 738 nt
Filed under: Candidatus Poseidoniales archaeon
Lineage: Archaea; Methanobacteriati; Thermoplasmatota; Candidatus Poseidoniia; Candidatus Poseidoniales
Description: bacterial SSU rRNA
Rfam family: Archaeal small subunit ribosomal RNA
Source: RNAcentral